GACGUAGGGUGCGAGCGUUGUCCGGAUUUAUUGGGCGUAAAGAGCUCGUAGGCGGCUCGUCGCGUCGACCGUGAAAACCCGCAGCUUAACGGUGGGCUUGCGGUCGAUACGGGCGGGCUAGAGUUCGGUAGGGGAGACUGGAAUUCCUGGUGUAGCGGUGAAAUGCGUAGAUAUCUGGAGGAACACCGGUGGCGAAGGCGGCGUUCUGGACUGUUACUGACACUGAGGAACGAAAGCCAGGGGAGCAAACGGG
This 253-nucleotide ribosomal RNA is filed under the name uncultured bacterium. Its description in RNAcentral is "partial 16S ribosomal RNA". It matches the Rfam family "Bacterial small subunit ribosomal RNA", at positions 524 to 776 of the family's 1533-position model. The record is from RNAcentral.